UGCAUAUCAAUAAGCGGAGGAAAAGAAACCAACAGGGAUUGCCUUAGUAACGGCGAGUGAAGCGGGCAUAUCAAUAAGCGGAGGAAAAGAAACCAACAGGGAUUGCCUCAGUAACGGCGAGUGAAGCGGCAAAAGCUCAAAUUUGAAACCCUCGGGAUUGUAAUUUGAAGAUUUGGCAUUGGAGAAAGCUAACCCAAGUUGCUUGGAAUAGUACGUCAUAGAGGGUGACAACCCCGUCUGGCUAACCGUUCUCCAUGUAUUGCCUUAUCAAAGAGUCGAGUUGUUUGGGAAUGCAGCUCAAAGUGGGUGGUAAACUCCAUCUAAAGCUAAAUACUGGUGAGAGACCGAUAGCGAACAAGUACUGUGAAGGAAAGGUGAAAAGAACUUUGAAAAGAGAGUGAAAUAGUAUGUGAAAUUGUUGAUAGGGAAGGAAAUGAGUGGAGAGUGGCCGAGGUUUCAGCCGCCCCUCGUGGGCGGUGUACUGCCGACGCCGAGUCAUCGAUAGCGAGACGAGGGUUACAAAUGGGAGCGCCUUCGGGCGUUCUCCCCUAACCCUCCACACUGCCACCGACGACAUAAUCCACCCAUUUCACCCGUCUUGAAACACGGAC
RNAcentral lists this ribosomal RNA (611 nucleotides) under Yarrowia lipolytica. RNAcentral's name for it is "eukaryotic LSU rRNA". It matches the Rfam family "Eukaryotic large subunit ribosomal RNA", at positions 1 to 666 of the family's 3401-position model. Lineage: Eukaryota; Fungi; Ascomycota; Dipodascomycetes; Dipodascales. The record is from RNAcentral.